GGGAUUGUGGCUCAGUGGUAGAGCGCUCGCCUAGCACGUGGGAGGACCUGGGUUCCAUCCUCAGCACCA
Non-coding RNA from Ictidomys tridecemlineatus (thirteen-lined ground squirrel), 69 nucleotides. The record is from Rfam. Lineage: Eukaryota; Metazoa; Chordata; Mammalia; Rodentia; Sciuridae.